Molecule: non-coding RNA, 73 nt
Filed under: Compsopogon caeruleus
Lineage: Eukaryota; Rhodophyta; Compsopogonophyceae; Compsopogonales; Compsopogonaceae
Source: RNAcentral
UUUUCCCUUUUUUUUUUUUUUUUUUUUUUUAUCUCUUACGUGAGUGGGAUAAGGUGGGAAAAGGAAAAGAAGG